UAAGCCCCAUCUCCACUGGUGGUUUGUGGGGGCGAGCAGACACCCGAGACUCCAGAGCCUCGGGAGGAUGUCUGCAAGAGAGGAUGCAGGUGGAAUUUCAAGGUUCCUUCUGGCAUGUGGUAGAUCUGAGCAGGACAGCAGGUAGGAACUUACUGACUGGAAUCCCACUUCUUGUUGUGUUUGCGUUGAAAUCAGAGGCAUCCCUGCAGCUGCAGAAACCCAACAGACCCCAGGAUCCAAGCGCCCUUCCUGCUCCCAUAAGAGUCUGAAUCUAAGCCCUGUCUCUGCUGCUGAGAUCUAACCCACUGGCUGAUCGAGCGAAUUCAUUCUGAGCAAUUUGGGCCAGCUCUGCUGGUGAUAUUUCCAUAUCUCUGCUCGUGAGGAGCUGAGAAGUGAUCAACGGAGUCAACUGAGGUCUGUGAGGCUGGGCUCAGCCCUGCUGCRGUGUUGCUGACCGACAUCAGACAACGCGCUGGAGGGACGCGGCGUCCAAUAUSAGCAAAACCUGAUAUUUUACAUCUGUACCAUUUAAAAAUAUGUUUUAAUAUGUAAAUAUUUAAAUAUUAAUAUUUAAAAAUAAGCUGCAAGAGCCUAUGAGCUGAGCCUUGGGCCCGGCCUUGCAUUCCUGCUGCCAGCGUGCUCAUCACUGGGAUGAAGGUUCAGCUCCUUGCCCUGAACACCAGCUCCCAAGGGAGGGCAGGUCCCAAGGAAGAGCAGGUCCCAAGGGAAGGUGGUCUCAGGUCAGAAAGCGCAGUGGAGAGAAUGUUCUCGGUGCAGAGAACGGGGACCUCGGCCUCAGCCGUCCUGACCUGGCAGGAUGUCAUUCCUCAGUGCUCUCUCUUCCAAGGAUUCAGGUCCCUUUGAAAGUGAGAAGAAGUGAAGCUUCUUCCCCAGAGAGGCUGCCUGGGGUGGGGGGUUAUGUUUGUUGAUGUACCUUGAAGGUGGCCACCCCAAAGACUGUUAGCUGGGUCGGUUGUUUGCAACUCAAACCUUUUACUGGGUAAAAACUGGUAGAACUAGCUAAAGACAGCAAGAGUUUUCCUACAACCCCGUGGGCUACAGCAGAUAAUAACAAACUGCCCUAACUCUAUUAAAAGGACAUUUAGGUAUUGGGUCAUAUUGGUUAGUGGUGCAAAGAUCCAGCAGAGCUGCCUGCUUCCCACAUCCCAAGAGAUCGAGCUGCUGCUCCCUGGAACACAGGGAAGCUGGGAAAGGCUCAGUAAGGGAUCUCCUAUAGAACAUAKAUGACAAACCCCAUCUCUGUGCUGGAAAAGCACCUGAAGCAUCCGUGUCUCCCUUUGGAGAGCAGCUCACCUGAACCUGCUUCAGGCACUUCC
This is a long non-coding RNA of Nothoprocta perdicaria, 1337 nucleotides long. RefSeq lists it as uncharacterized. The transcript is spliced from 3 exons. The record is from RefSeq and is a predicted model, not a curated record. NCBI's taxonomy places the organism in Eukaryota, Metazoa, Chordata, Aves, Tinamiformes, Tinamidae.